AUUAGAUACCCUGGGUAGUCCACGCUGUAAACGAUCGAUACUAGGUGUGCGGGGACUGACCCCCUGCGUGCCGGAGUUAACACAAUAAGUAUCGCACCUGGGGAGUACGAUCGCAAGGUUGAAACUCAAAGGAAUUGACGGGGGCCCGCACAAGCGGUGGAUUAUGUGGUUUAAUUCGAUGCAACGCGAAGAACCUUACCAGGGCUUGACAUCCUGCUAACGAGGUAGAGAUACGUCAGGUGCCCUUCGGGGAAAGCAGAGACAGGUGGUGCAUGGUUGUCGUCAGCUCGUGUCGUGAGAUGUUGGGUUAAGUCCCGCAACGAGCGCAACCCUUAUUGUUAGUUGCUACGCAAGAGCACUCUAGCGAGACUGCCGUUGACAAAACGGAGGAAGGUGGGGACGACGUCAAAUCAUCAUGCCCCUUAUGUCCUGGGCUACACACGUAAUACAAUGGCGGUCAACAGAGGGAUGCAAAACCGCGAGGUGGAGCGAACCCCUAAAAGCCGUCCCAGUUCGGAUCGCAGGCUGCAACCCGCCUGCGUGAAGUCGGAAUCGCUAGUAAUCGCGGAUCAGCAUGCCGCGGUGAAUACGUUCCCGGGCCUUGUACACACCGCCCGUCACACCAUGAGAGUCGGGAACACCCGAAGUCCGUAGCCUAACCGCAAGGAGGGCGCGGCCGAAGGUGGGUUCGAUAAUUGGGGUGAAGUCGUAACAAGGUACC
RNAcentral lists this ribosomal RNA (721 nucleotides) under uncultured bacterium. RNAcentral's name for it is "bacterial SSU rRNA". It matches the Rfam family "Bacterial small subunit ribosomal RNA", at positions 777 to 1500 of the family's 1533-position model. The record is from RNAcentral.